This 305-nucleotide ribosomal RNA is filed under the name uncultured bacterium. RNAcentral describes it as "bacterial SSU rRNA". It matches the Rfam family "Bacterial small subunit ribosomal RNA", at positions 335 to 658 of the family's 1533-position model. The record is from RNAcentral.
UGCCUACGGGGGGCAGCAGUGGGGAAUAUUGCACAAUGGGGGAAACCCUGAUGCAGCGACGCCGUGUGAGUGAAGAAGUGUUUCGGUACGUAAAGCUCUAUCAGCAGGGAAGAAAAUGACGGUACCUGACUAAGAAGCCCCGGCUAACUACGUGCCAGCAGCCGCGGUAAUACGUAGGGGGCAAGCGUUAUCCGGAUUUACUGGGUGUAAAGGGAGCGUAGACGGCAGCGCAAGUCUGGAGUGAAAUCCCAUGGCUUAACCAUGGAACUGCUUUGGAAACUGUGCAGCUAGAGUGCAGAAGAGGG